This 469-nucleotide ribosomal RNA is filed under the name uncultured bacterium. RNAcentral's name for it is "partial 16S ribosomal RNA". The stretch from base 20 to 332 matches the Rfam family "Bacterial small subunit ribosomal RNA", at positions 47 to 358 of the family's 1533-position model. The record is from RNAcentral.
GACGAACGCUGGCGGCGUGCUUAACACAUGCAAGUCGAACGGAAAGGCCCUGCUUUUGUGGGGUGCUCGAGUGGCGAACGGGUGAGUAACACGUGAGUAACCUGCCCUUGACUUUGGGAUAACUUCAGGAAACUGGGGCUAAUACCGGAUAGGAGCUCCUGCUGCAUGGUGGGGGUUGGAAAGUUUCGGCGGUUGGGGAUGGACUCGCGGCUUAUCAGCUUGUUGGUGGGGUAGUGGCUUACCAAGGCUUUGACGGGUAGCCGGCCUGAGAGGGUGACCGGGCAAAUGGGGGAGGGAAAGGGGCCAGGGACUCAGGGGGGGGGGGAAGGGGGGGAAUGUUGAAAAGGGGGGGAGGGCUGAAGGAGGCAACGCGGGGGGGGGAAAGGGGGCUUAGGGGUUGAAACCGGGUAUCGCGGGGGAAAAAGGGGGAGUGAGGUAAGGGGAAAAAGAGCACCGGGAAAAUUAGGGG